RNAcentral lists this ribosomal RNA (494 nucleotides) under uncultured bacterium. Its description in RNAcentral is "partial 16S ribosomal RNA". It matches the Rfam family "Bacterial small subunit ribosomal RNA", at positions 28 to 507 of the family's 1533-position model. The record is from RNAcentral.
GACGAACGCUGGCGGCGCGCUUAACACAUGCAAGUCGAACGGAAAGGCCUGCUUUCCCUUGUGGAUUGCGGGUACUCGAGUGGCGAACGGGUGAGUAACACGUGAGUGAUCUGCCCCCAACUUGGGUAUAAGCCUGGGAAACUGGGUCUAAUUCCCGAUAGGACUGCAGGGUGGUGCCUGUGGUGGAAAACGAUUUUCUAGUGGUUGGGGAUGAGCUCGCGGCCUAUCAGCUUGUUGGUGGGGUAAUGGCCUACCAAGGCGGCGACGGGUAGCCGGCCUGAGAGGGUGGACGGCCACAUUGGGACUGAGAUACGGCCCAGACUCCUACGGGAGGCAGCAGUGGGGAAUAUUGCACAAUGGGCGGAAGCCUGAUGCAGCGACGCCGCGUGGGGGAUGACGGCCUUCGGGUUGUAAACUCCUUUCGACCGCGAGGAAGCCACCUGGUUGGAAGGGUGGUGACGGUAAUGGUAGAAGAAGCACCGGCUAACUACGUG